AUUCCAUGAGGUGCGGUCGCGGCCCUCCGGCGGAGCAACAGCUACCGUCGGGCGGUAGAGGUAACACUUUCACGCGCCGCAUGUCUGAAUCCUUUUUUUACGAGCACCUUUCGUUCUCCUUCGGCGGGGCAACCUGCCGUUGGAACCUAUCAAAACCUUUUUUUGCAUCUAGCAUUACCUGUUCUGAUACAAACAAUCGUUACAACUUUCAACAAUGGAUCUCUUGGCUCUGGCAUCGAUGAAGAACGCAGCGAAAUGCGAUAAGUAGUGUGAAUUGCAGAAUUCAGUGAAUCAUCGAAUCUUUGAACGCACAUUGCGCCCCUUGGUAUUCCAUGGGGCAUGCCUGUUCGAGCGUCAUCUACACCCUCAAGCUCUGCUUGGUGUUGGGCGUCUGUCCCGCCUCUGCGCGCGGACUCGCCCCAAAUUCAUUGGCAGCGGUCCUUGCCUCCUCUCGCGCAGCACAUUGCGCUUCUCGAGGUGCGCGGCCCGCGUCCACGAAGCAACAUUACCGUCUUUGACCUCGGAUCAGGUAGGGAUACCCGCUGAACUUAAGCAUAU
RNAcentral lists this ribosomal RNA (558 nucleotides) under Paraconiothyrium brasiliense. Its description in RNAcentral is "eukaryotic LSU rRNA". The stretch from base 204 to 357 matches the Rfam family "5.8S ribosomal RNA". The record is from RNAcentral. Lineage: Eukaryota; Fungi; Ascomycota; Dothideomycetes; Pleosporales; Didymosphaeriaceae.